GGUUUCCCCUCUUAUUUCAAGUCUGCACAGUAGAGGAGUGAAACGGGAGCGAGGACGGAGAGAAGCAGCGCCGGACUCUGCUGGAAUGUCGCGGCAAAGGAGUAGUUUGUGCUGUUGGUUGGGUUGUGACUCUGCCCGCAAUGGAGAUGACUGCGCAAGCUACUGCCUUGCCAGUGCUGGUGUCUGCGCUGCAGCCGAGGAGAGGAGCUGUUCACGCGGUCUGUCCAGGUAACACACACCACUGGGCUUAGUCUAGCUACUAUUUGUUUUGUAUUAAUUUUUGUACUAAUUAUCUACGGUGUUGUAUUUUGAAGUUGUGCGGCCACUGGGAACUGUCUCGUGUGGCCGCUUUGUUGCGUCCUGAUGUGUGCAACUGUCUCAGAGCCUCUGUAUCAUGUGUCAUCCAAUAAAACAGUGAGUGGCCGUGGAGGAGAAAAGACACUUUGUUGUUUUCAGUUGUGUAUAGUAAAAUUCAUACAUAUGCAUAUAUGUGUAUGUUUUACAUUGGUGCCAUGAUGCCUUUUUAAAAUAUGUAUAAAUUUCUCUUGCAGGAUGAAGGAGGAGUCUUGCAUGUGCCGGGUCUAAUAAUUUGGUGUGUACAGGAAAAAGUCGAUAUCCAGUGUGGAUUUGCAUAGUUUUUGACCACCCCGAGCACAGUGGGCUGUGUAGAAAGCAUGUAGGUCAACUGUGCUGUUGCUAUGAGGAGAGGAGUGACGUGGCUCCUGCUGCCCACAGAGGUAUCCUACUAAAUAUCGGGUCUGAUACAUACACACACACACACACUGGCUUUAUGGCUCUCCUCUGACUUCCUUUGUUGAUAAUGCUGCAUACGAGAGCAUAUGCUCCUCCUGCACCCAAACGCCUCGUCCGUGCUGAGUUUGGAGUGUGAAUGUGUGUCAAUGCUGUUCACCUGAUUAUCUGAUAAUCAUUAUUAUUAUUAUUAUUAUUAUUAUCAUUAUGCCAAACGUGGACACUGAGACUCAGAAACGUUACACGCCGCAUGACUGAACCUCCACAGCUGUGGUGUUGGUGAUGAGGCUCACGCAUUGUUGCGAGUUAACCUCUGAAAUCCUCUCUCCACUGCUCAGCAGCAGCUGGCUGCUCUGUGUUUUACACUAUUAUGGCCAGUCAAGGGUUUCAUGAUGGGGUGGCAACUGUAACGCAUAAUGGUGCUUUGAUUGGCUGUCGGUGCCAGCCAGUGUUAGGCUGAUGAAAGGCUGCAGACUCAUGUUCAGACCCCCAGCCCCAGAUGAGAGCGCGUCGCUCGCUGAGUGACUGACUGAAGAUUUAAUCCUGUAUUUGACCUUCCAAGGAUACUCCCGUUAAAUAUUUAUGACUUCACACUUGACAGCACGUUAGGCAGAGUUCAGUCUGAGCCACGAUUCUGUCCACAAGCGAUUGUCCUGGUGUUACACAAUAAAUUCUACUCUGGCUACUCACUGUAGCGGAAAGCGUAGGCUGAAAGGAGUGAGUUGUUCUUGUUUGCAGAAGCAGCUGACUGGUAAACAAACCACAGAGAGGACUUUUAGUGAUACCGUCAAGUCUGUUCAGGUCUGUGUUAAAUCUAUUCAAAUGUGUGGUAAGAAAGACACGUUACCCGGCCGAUGGAGCAGCGAGCAGAGGUAGCUCACAUCCUCCUCAUCCAUCUUGUGUCAAAGGUCUUAUUUGAGCCGAGCCACAGAUAAAUCAUACUUGAAGCAGCCAAAGCCCCAGAGCAGUAAAUUAGAGCCCUCUGUGGAAAAAUAUGUCCACUCAUGUGGGCAUCACAUCUGCUCUGAGGCAGCCGCACCUUCACCAGGACAGAUACACCUGUGUGUGUGUGUGUGUGUGUGUGUGUGUGCGUGUGUGUGUGUGUGUCUCCGGAGAAUAAAACACCACAAUUUAACAUCAAAUAUGAAAGUAAACACUAGUGGGUGACAAUGAUUUUCAUUAUUGAUGAAUAUGCCAAUGACUUAAUGAUUUAAUUGAUACAGAAUGAUUGUGCCUCCAUCCACAAGCCACUGAGCGAUGGAUUAGAUUAGGACUAGAUUAGAUUCCUUUAUUGUCACUGUACCAUGAGAUGUCAUUUUGGAACAGUCAACAUCAGCAGAUGCUGAGUUUAAAGUUUAAGAUAAAUACAAUAUAACGUAAAUACUAUGCACUCUAUAAAUACUAUAAAACCUUCACUAUUGCUAUAUCUCAACCCCACAGAGGAUUAUUUUUGAGAAGAAUAGUUUCUAUUGCUUUAUUUGAGACCACAGACUUUAUAAGAGUAAGUAAAAAUGUCCCUGAAUCACUUCUGUGAGCACAUGGUGGCGUGGCACCCGUAAGACACAUAAUGCUAGUCUUUAUUUUACUUCUUCACGCGUCUGUAGUUUCUUACAGAGUGACAUGGAAUUCUUCUACAGCUGUUAGAAUUAGUCGUUUAUCCUAUCUAUCAAUCAAUCAAUCAAUCAAUGUUGGCCUCAGCUCUCCCAUGAUGCACUGCGAUAACACAGCGUCACCCUUACAAGUAAAAAAAAAAGAAAGAGAUGAGCAUCUUGCGGCGAGCCCACUCAGCAUCUCCCACAGAUCUCUCCUCAGGUCGGGUGGGAGUGUUGCAACCCUUGAAAAAACAAGCCGCCACCUACAGGAACGACUGAAUCAUCAGUGUCAUCGUCCAAUCUGAACCGCACACACACACACACGCACGCAUGUACGUGGAGAGGAGGGGUGUUGUGCCAGAUCAGGACACACACAGUCCUGGCCUUUGGGGACCAGAUGUCCCUUCAGCCCCUGUAGAGGAUCCCGGGUGGGAGACUCCUACAAUAACAUAACAAUAUGCUCCUCUGAGUAUGUGUUAAGGAAUGUAGUCAUAGGAUUGUGUGUUUAUGUGUUUUACAUAUGUAAAACCUAAUCUGUUCAUGGGAUUAUAAGAAUAAAAUGUCAUUAUUCACA
Solea solea (common sole) is the source of this 2916-nucleotide long non-coding RNA. RefSeq lists it as uncharacterized. The transcript is spliced from 2 exons. NCBI's taxonomy places the organism in Eukaryota, Metazoa, Chordata, Actinopteri, Pleuronectiformes, Soleidae. The record is from RefSeq and is a predicted model, not a curated record.